AGUUUGAUCAUGGCUCAGGACGAACGCUGGCGGCGUGCUUAAUGAAUGCGAGUCGAACGAGAACCAGAUGAGUGCUUGCACAAGUCUGGGGAGAGUGGCGAACGGGUGAGUAACACGUGGGUAACCUGCCCUGUAGUCGGGCAUAACAGCUGGAAACGGCUGCUAAUUCCCGAUAGUCUGUAGUGGCAUAAGCUACUAUAGUAAAGGUUUUUCCGCUACAGGAUGGGCCCGCGGUCCAUUAGCUUGUUGGUGAGGUAACGGCUCACCAAGGCGACGAUGGAUAGCCGGUCUGAGAGGAUGAUCGGCCACACUGGGACUGAGACAUGGUCCAGACUCCUCCGGGAGUUAGCAUCAGGGAAUCUUGCACAAUGGACGAAAGUCUGAUGCAGCGACGCCGCGUGAGGGAUGAAGGUCUGCGGAUCGUAAACCUCUGUAAGCAGGGACGAAUGCCCCACUUGGUGGGGAGUGACGGUACCUGCAAAGUAAGCCCCGGCUAACUACGUGCCAGCAGCCGCGGUAAUACGUAGGGGGCCAGCGUUGUCCGGAUUUACUGGGCGUAAAGAGCGCGUAGGCGGUUUGGUAAGCGGAGGGUGAAAUCCCGGGGCUCAACUCCGGGGCUGCUCUCCGAACUGCUUGACUAGAGUACGGGAGAGGGUAGUGGAAUUCCUGGUGUAGCGGUGGAAUGCGUAAAUAUCAGGAGGAACACCCGUGGCGAAGGCUGCUACCUGGAACGUUACUGACGCUGAGGCGCGAAAGCUAGGGGAGCGAACGGGAUUAGAUACCCCGGUAGUCCUAGCCGUAAACGAUGGACACUAGGUGUUGGAGGCAUCGACCCCUUCAGUGCUGUUCUUAACGCGUUAAGUGUCCCGCCUGGGGAGUACGGCCGCAAGGUUGAAACUCAAAGGAAUUGACGGGGGCCCGCACAAGCGGUGGAGCAUGUUGGUCAAUUGGAUGAUACGCCAAGAACCUUACCAGGGUUUGACAUGUUUGGGACAGCUGGUGAAAGCCAGUCUCCGUAGCAAUACGGUCCAUUCACAGGUGGUGCAUGGUUGUCGUCAGCUCGUGUCGUGAGAUGUUGGGUUAAGUCCUGCAACGAGCGCAACCCUCGCUGGAUGUUGCCAUCGGUAACGCCGGGAACUCUUCCAGGACUGCCCGAGUAAUCGGGAGGAAGGAGGGGACGACGUCAAAUCGGCAUGCCCCUUACACCCUGGGCUGCAAACGUGCUACAAUGGCCGGUACAAAGGGUUGCUAAGCCGCGAGGUGGAGCCAAUCCCCUAAAGCCGGUCCCAGUUCGGAUUGGGUGUCUGCAACUCGACCCCAUGAAGUCGGAAUCGCUAGUAACCGUGGAUCAGCAACGCCACGGUGAAUACGUUCCCGGGCCUUGUACACACCGCCCGUCAAGUCAUGAAAGCUGGCAGGACCCGAAGUCCACUGCGGUGGCCGAAGGUCAGGCCAGUGAUUGGGACUAAGUCGUAACAAGGUAGCCGUAGGGGAACCUGUGGCUGGAUCACCUCCUU
Molecule: ribosomal RNA, 1517 nt
Filed under: uncultured bacterium SJA-43
Lineage: Bacteria; Bacillati
Description: bacterial SSU rRNA
Rfam family: Bacterial small subunit ribosomal RNA
Source: RNAcentral